This 120-nucleotide small nuclear RNA is filed under the name Patiria miniata (bat star). Its description in RNAcentral is "U5 spliceosomal RNA". It matches the Rfam family "U5 spliceosomal RNA". From Rfam's summary of the family: U5 RNA is a component of both types of known spliceosome. The precise function of this molecule is unknown, though it is known that the 5' loop is required for splice site selection and p220 binding, and that both the 3' stem-loop and the Sm site are important for Sm protein binding and cap methylation. Lineage: Eukaryota; Metazoa; Echinodermata; Asteroidea; Valvatida; Asterinidae. The record is from Rfam by way of RNAcentral.
GUACUCUGGUUUCUCUGCAUUCGCAUAAAUCUUUCGCCUUUUACUAAAGAUUUCCGUGCAGUGGAACAAUUUAAUGAGUCUAUAGACUAAUUUUUUACUGCCCAGUCGAAAGAUUGGGCU